GUGGCCAGAGUGACCCCAAGAGUGUCCAGGGACUUGGUUUUCUGACCAAGGUGCCCCCAGAAGAACAGGGAAUUAGAGCGGGCUGAGGGGACCAACCCCCAGGAUUGGAAUCUCUGGUUCAGGAGAGCCCUGGGGAGGAGAGAGGACUGUUGAAGUCCUCAUCCCAAGCCCAUAUAGGGGAGGGAGGGGAGCAAAGAGGUAGUGAAAAAUAAAGGAGGCAGAAAAGAAAGACGAGGUGAGGGCAAAUUUGAGAGGUUGUGAGCUGACCGUCAAGGGAGGCAUUCAAAUCAACAUUGAUAACUCAAGAUCCUUUCGGAGAAGUGAAAUCAAUGCCUAUAUCACAGAACAGGAAAUUGAGGCUAUCAUUUGCUUUGAGCUGAGAUCAGGUGGUGGUUUUAGGGGGUGAGGAAGGAGGAGGAUUCAGGGGACCCUGAUUUCUGGAUAACAAUGAGUGCCAGGGCCACACGGCCCCGAAGCCGGCGAGGGAGGCACGCCGCUCUGCCCGGUGAGCUAGACCCUGUGGCAGAGAGUUCAGAAGAGGCUGAGGCAGCCAGUGGGAGCUCCGAGCCGGGCCCUGUGCCAUCUCAGGAUAGCUGCAAGCCAGAGCCGCUGGGCCCUGAGGCGGAGGCCAAAGGGCAGGGCCUGGAGAGCAGAUCUUUCCAUCUCUCACCUCUUCACAGGACUGACAAAGAAGUUGAUGGGGACUCUAGCAGGGGACCUGCUCCAGCCCCCGAGGGGCCCUAUGAGCCUGCCCAGGAAGCCCACCAGGCCCCAGAGGCAGCCCCAUGGGACAGGGAGAAUGUCCCCUCUGGACCCAGAGCCCCUGACGUGUUUCAGACUCUCCAGCAAGCUCUGAGCUCUCUGGAAGCGGCUGUUGCUGCCUGGCGCCACCAGCCCCCAAGAUGUCCUGGGCCGUUGGAGGCAAAGGACAGAAGCGAGGGGGGACCAAAGCCCUGCUUGGAGCAAGAGCAGGCUGGGAGCUGCCAGCGGGAUGCAGCCCGAUUGACUGAAAGGAAUGCCUGGUUGCGUUUGGCCCUGAGCAGCCGUGAGGACGAGCUGAUCCGCACACAGAACUCCCUGAAGGCCUUCCAGGCUGAGAAGGAGAUGCUGCAGAGAGAGGUCCAGGAGCUGCAGGAUUCCCUGCUGAGGCUGAGGCCCUUCCCACCUCCCUCCUGUGACCAAGCAGGCGGCUCGGGUAGUGGUUCCAGCAGCUCUGGGGUUGAUGGGGAGACCUGGGGCACUCAGGAUCCCUUCUCCCUGGCUCACCCCCUGCUCCGGCGCCUCCAGAGUGAUUCCAGCACCCAGAUGCUUGGGUCUCUCCCCACCCAGCUCCUUGCCCCCGAGAUGCACAUCAUGGAAGCCCAGAUGGAGCAUCUCCAGGGGAACAUUGAAAAGCUCAAAUGCUUCAACCGUCUGCUGUCAGCUGUGCUCCAGGAGUACAAGGGCCGGUGUGAGGGCCUCAGCAUGCGGCUGGGCCAGCGGGAGGCUGAGGCCACUGCAUUGCGUCUAGCCUUGCAGUAUAGUGAACACUGUGAGGAGGCAUAUGGGGCCUUGCUCACUCUUCGGAAGGCAGACUCAGGAGCAGGAGAAGAAGCCUUCAUGGAUGACUUGGAGGCGGCUGAGAAGGAAGCUCAGAGGCUUCUGGUGCAAGAGGAGGCUGCCAUGGAUGGAGGGAUACUGCAGGAUCCACGUCCAAGCCCCGAGGGCAGCAGUGUGGAUAGGCCCACACCACAGGAGGUGGCUAUACAGCUCCAGGGCUACGUCCAGCGUCUUCAGGAACGCCGUGCUCUGGUGAAGAUUCCCCCAGAGCCUGGUCCCACCUUGGCACCCAUGUCCGCUGUGCCCCGUGCAGAAGCCAUGGUGCAGGCCAUUCUGGGGACACAGCCUGGCCCAGCCCUGCCCCGGCUGGAGAAGAUGCAGAUCCAGGAGGACCUGGUGGCCACACGGGAGACCCUAGCAGACCUGAUGCUUCGGCUACAGCUGGUGCGGCGGGAGAAGCGGGCUCUGGAGCUGCGGGAGGCUGCCCUCCGAGCCCAGGGCCCAGCCCACGUGCUCCUGCUGGAGCAGCUGCGCUGGGAGCGCGCAAAGCUCUGGACUGGUGGGGCCAACAGCAGUGGUGGAGACAGCAGUGGAGGAGGGAGCAGUGGAGAUGAAGAGGAGUGGUCCCAGCCUUAGCAGCUUCUGGAACCCUCCUUUGAAUCAUCUCUCCUACCUCCAAGGCUUUGUAAGUGCUGUGCCCCUGCCAGGAACACCAGUCACUUUCUAAUUAAGUCCUCAACCUCCUACAGGUCUGAGCUCAAACAUCACCUCCUCCAGGAAGUCCUCGUGGACUGCCUGUAAAUGAGAUAUUAUUUAUUCCCCUGUACCUUAUUGGGGUACCGUUAUUGGGUAUUGUACCCUUAUUGGGGUAUCUCACCAGAGUGGGGGCUCUGUGAGAGCAGGGGCUGUAGCCACCACAAUCUGGGCAACUUCGAUGUCCAACUUGGGCUGAGCACACACUCAGCCUAGGCCUGUGUCACUACCCUCCCUGCUGCGUCCCACAGGGCCCUCCGGCUGUCCCUGGUGGCAGCAGGGCUGUUGAUGGAGGCCAAGUGAGCAAAGUGCAGAACCCAGAAGAGCUAGCCCAGGAACUGUCAGCAUCACUCACCCGGGCUCUGGGCCUGCGGGAGCAGCUGCAGUCCUUGCGGGAAG
This is an RNA transcript of Globicephala melas (long-finned pilot whale), 2691 nucleotides long. It is a transcript of the gene named USH1 protein network component harmonin binding protein 1, with no coding region annotated. The record is from RefSeq and is a predicted model, not a curated record. Lineage: Eukaryota; Metazoa; Chordata; Mammalia; Artiodactyla; Delphinidae.